CAUGGGGCUUGCGAACACCCCGUGAGGCGUCAGCCCAAGUUUCGCAUCCUGAUCAACACCAAAGUGUGAGAGGAUGCG
RNAcentral lists this non-coding RNA (78 nucleotides) under uncultured Kiloniella sp. Its description in RNAcentral is "chrB-a RNA". It matches the Rfam family "chrB-a RNA". Lineage: Bacteria; Pseudomonadati; Pseudomonadota; Alphaproteobacteria; Rhodospirillales; Kiloniellaceae. The record is from RNAcentral.